UUCAACAGAUACUGUUAUGAAAUACCUAGAA
Molecule: non-coding RNA, 31 nt
Filed under: Rattus norvegicus (Norway rat)
Lineage: Eukaryota; Metazoa; Chordata; Mammalia; Rodentia; Muridae
Source: RNAcentral